CCUACGGGAGGCAGCAGUGGGGAAUAUUGCACAAUGGGCGAAAGCCUGAUGCAGCAACGCCGCGUGAGCGAUGAAGGCCCUCGGGUCGUAAAGCUCUGUUCUCAAGGAAGAUAAUGACGGUACUCGAGGCGGAAGCUCCGGCUAACUUCGAGCCAGCAGCCGCGGUAAUACGUAGGGGGCUAGCGUUAUACGGAAUUACUGGGCGUAAAGGGUGCGUAGAUGGUUUCUUAAGUCAGAGGUGAAAGGCUACGGCUCAACCGUAGUAGGCCUUUGAAACUGGGAAACUUGAGUGCAGGAGAGGAGAGUGGAAUUCGUGGUGUAGCGGUGAAAUGCGUAGAUAUUAGGAAGAACACCAGUUGCGAAGGCGGCUCUCUGGACUGUAACUGACACUGAGGCACGAAAGCGUGGGGAGCAAACAGGAUUAGAUACCCUUGUAGUC
This 439-nucleotide ribosomal RNA is filed under the name uncultured bacterium. RNAcentral's name for it is "partial 16S ribosomal RNA". It matches the Rfam family "Bacterial small subunit ribosomal RNA", at positions 338 to 795 of the family's 1533-position model. The record is from RNAcentral.